UUGGCCUUGACAUACUAAGAACUUUCAGAGAUGGAUUGGUGCCUUUCGGGAACUUAGAUACAGGUGCUGCAUGGCUGUCGUCAGCUCGUGUCGUGAGAUGUUGGGUUAAGUCCGCAACGAGCGCAACCCUUUUCCUUAUUUGCCAGCGGGUAAUGCCGGGAACUUUAAGGAUACUGCCAGUGACAAACUGGAGGAAGGCGGGGACGACGUCAAGUCAUCAUGGCCCUUACGGCCAGGGCUACACACGUGCUACAAUGGUCGGUACAAAGGGUUGCUACCUCGCGAGAGGAUGCUAAUCUCAAAAAGCCGAUCGUAGUCCGGAUCGCAGUCUGCAACUCGACUGCGUGAAGUCGGAAUCGCUAGUAAUCGCGGAUCAGAAUGCCGCGGUGAAUACGUUCCCGGGCCUUGUACACACCGCCCGUCACACCAUGGGAGUUUGUUGCACCAGAAGUAGGUAGUCUAACCGCAAGGAGGACGCUUACCACGGUGUGGCCGAUGACUGGGGUGAAGUCGUAACAAGGUAAGCGUAGAUGA
This 534-nucleotide ribosomal RNA is filed under the name uncultured bacterium. RNAcentral describes it as "bacterial SSU rRNA". It matches the Rfam family "Bacterial small subunit ribosomal RNA", at positions 975 to 1509 of the family's 1533-position model. The record is from RNAcentral.